AUAUUGCGCAAUGGGGGAAACCCUGACGCAGCAACGCCGCGUGAAGGAAGAAGGCCUUCGGGUUGUAAAGCCCUUUCAGUGGUGAAGAUGAUGACGGUAACCACAGAAGAAGCUCCGGCUAACUUCGUGCCAGCAGCCGCGGUAAUACGAAGGGGGCGAGCGUUGUUCGGAAUCACUGGGCUUAAAGAGUACGUAGGCGGUCGCACAAGUCAGGAGUGAAAUCCCGGGGCUCAACCCCGGAAUUGCUUUUGAAACUAUGUGGCUAGUGUCCCGGAGAGGUUGGCGGAAUUCCGAGUGUAGAGGUGAAAUUCGCAGAUAUUCGGAGGAACACCAGUGGCGAAGGCGGCCAACUGGACGGGUACAGACGCUGAGGUACGAAAGCGUGGGGAUCAAACAGG
RNAcentral lists this ribosomal RNA (398 nucleotides) under uncultured bacterium. RNAcentral describes it as "bacterial SSU rRNA". It matches the Rfam family "Bacterial small subunit ribosomal RNA", at positions 361 to 776 of the family's 1533-position model. The record is from RNAcentral.